RNAcentral lists this ribosomal RNA (439 nucleotides) under uncultured bacterium. RNAcentral describes it as "partial 16S ribosomal RNA". It matches the Rfam family "Bacterial small subunit ribosomal RNA", at positions 338 to 795 of the family's 1533-position model. The record is from RNAcentral.
CCUACGGGGUGCAGCAGUGGGGAAUAUUGCACAAUGGGCGAAAGCCUGAUGCAGCAACGCCGCGUGAGCGAUGACGGCCUUCGGGUCGUAAAGCUCUGUCAUCAAGGAAGAUAAUGACGGUACUUGAGGAGGAAGCCCCGGCUAACUACGUGCCAGCCCCCGCGGUAAUACGUAGGGGGCUAGCGUUAUCCGGAAUUACUGGGGGUAAAGGGUGCGUAGGUGGUUUCUUAAGUCAGAGGGGAAAGGCUACGGCUCAACCGUAGGAAGGCUUUGAAACCGGGAGACUUGAGUGCAGGAGAGGAGAGUGGAAUUCCUAGUGUAGCGGUGAAAUGCGUAGAUAUUAGGAGGAACACCAGUUGCGAAGGCGGCUCUCUGGACUGUAACUGACACUGAGGCACGAAAGCGUGGGGAGCAAACAGGAUUAGAUACCCCUGUAGUC